CCAACAGAUAAUGCUGUGCACUCUAAACAGACUGCCGUGGAUAACACGGAGGAAGGUGGGGAUGACGUCAAAUCAUCAUGCCCCUUAUGAGUCUGGGCUACACACGUGCUACAAUGGUCGGUACAACGGGCAGCGAAAGAGUAAUCUGGAAGCGAAAUCCUAAAAAGCCGAUCCCAGUUCGGAUUGUGGGCUGAAACUCGCCCACAUGAAGUUGGAGUUGCUAGUAAUCGCGAAUCAGAAUGUCGCGGUGAAUGCGUUCCCGGGUCUU
This 268-nucleotide ribosomal RNA is filed under the name uncultured Fusibacter sp. RNAcentral describes it as "partial 16S ribosomal RNA". It matches the Rfam family "Bacterial small subunit ribosomal RNA", at positions 1118 to 1382 of the family's 1533-position model. The record is from RNAcentral. Lineage: Bacteria; Bacillati; Bacillota; Clostridia; Eubacteriales; Fusibacteraceae.